GACUAAAACCAUGAGCCAAAGUAAAUCUCUCCUCCUUGAAGUCAUGGGUGUUGGUACAGUGUCUCAGUAAUGGGAAACCCAGCCCUAAGAGCAGGAUGCUAACUGUUUCCUCAUGUUUGACUCUGGAUAUGCUGAACUUUGUUUAUAGUUGCAAGUCAAUCUUCAGAGAGUGUUAGUAUAACCCCUGUCCCUGUAACUCCUGUCUGAAAGUCUCUUGAAUAGGAUUUAUGUUUCUCUGGUGCUUAAGGUCAGUAAGUGUGCCCCCAGCUACUCCGAGUUCCCAAAGCCACAAAACACUUGCUAUCAAAUUGAGUACAUCCACUGACUAUUGAAAUAUAACUGACUGAGUUUGGAAAGUCUCUCAGGGCUUCCCUUGUGAUCACCACAGAUAAGGUCAGCGGAUGAGCAAGACAGAAGUCUGGAGUCAUGGUGCACAUCUUCCAGGGUUGCUGUGAGCAUGGGCAUGGGUUAAGGUCCAGUCCCUGCUCGGGUGCGAGGGACGGGCAUCACAGCUGCUGUUUCUACAACCUCUCAGCCCUCACAUAUUUUCUCCGUAACUGACUCUGCCUAUCUCCUCCCUCCUGAGCCUCACUUCUAUAGCUAAUUGCAACCCCACCCACCCUUGCUCGGCCCUUAAUCACGUGGGCCUGUUCUUUCCCCAUCUUACCAGGUGGCGAAGCCGCUGUCAGUGGAUACGUCCGUCUGUCCACCCUCCCGACUGCUCAUGGCCUCUCCGUAGGGCUGCCUGGCGACCCUACUGCAUGUUCACAAUUCAUUCACUGCCCCGCUGUCCUCGCCAGCUAUUUCAUGCCUUCUCCUCACUCAUGCUGAGCGCACGCCUGGCUUCCAGCGUGGCUGAGGGGCGGGCGCACUCGUGCCAACUGCACGUGGCCCACCUCCUUGCACGGCCGCCGCGUCUGCUGCUCUCCUCCUGGGCCACCCUGGCAAGACCAGCUCUAGUGUUUUUAGAAAUUUAAGUCAGAUUGUAUCACUAUUUGCUGAAGAACUUAGCAUCAUAUUUAGAGAAAUGGUCGAAGUCCUUACAACAGCACCCAAGACCCAUCGAACGUGAAAGACAGUACCUCUGGGCUGGCGAAUCCUCCCAGGGUCUGCACUCUGCUUCCAGGCCUUUACUCGUUGUCACUGUCGCCUGUCACUCAGGACGGGCCAGGUCAUGCCGCAGCAGCAAGCAGGUCCGGAGCGUCAGGAGUUUGGACCGAGUCCCGCACAGGUCCAGUUCUGCUCUCCUUGACAUCAUGGCGAAAGCUGCUGUCCGGCAUCACCACGGCGACGGCGGAAGAGCACAGUCGCUUGCCCGCUCCCGACUUUGGCCAAGCGGAGUCCAUCACUCCCCCACACCCCGACGGCACAGCCCGGCCCUGCCGCUCUAAUCCCGAGUUAGCCCUGGGCAGAAAGACAGGAAGGGUGCUGCACUGUGACGGCCACACGGCCCUAACUGGAGGCUGCUCAGCCAUGCUGUCCAUCCACAGGCUUCCCCACCGCCGUCCAGGGCCUUGGCUUCGUGCCUCUCAUGUCCCGCAUUCACUCUACCCUCAGUCGCCGUCUCCGUGCGGUACAGAUGCACCGUGCUCCUGCUCUUCCCAUUUGUUCUGCACCCUUCGCUGUUAGGAUGUGAACUCCAGGGCCCAGGGCUGCGCCUCUCCUCCAGUGCUAUGUGCUCAGCGCCUACAGCAGUGACUGCCACACGGAGGCUACAGCCGGACGGUGCCUGCUGACUGGGAGAACGGAUGGCGAGGACGCACAGUAAUCCACGUGCAGUGUGCCACGGGGCAGUUGACCAGGCUGGGAUUUGGCUGGAACCAACGCUAAUCCGACUCGUUCGAGAGAGUUUCUAGUGCAGGCCUCUCGUGCCGGCUCCGAACCUCGAGGUGCCCAUCCGGUCCCCAAACAUACCAGACACCAGGCACGUGCUCUCUGGCACUUUUCCAGCAGGAGCAGAAGCUGCUUGGCUUCCAUGGAGAUGAGUUAUAAUCCAUCUUUGGCUGAGAUCCUGCUGAGAUCAAGGUGGUUUCCCAUCCAGAAGGACGAGAGGUCUCACGCAGAAGUGCAUUUUCCGGCUCCCCUACCUGAAACCUUGCCAGUCAUCCAGCAUACAUUGCCCCAGGAAGCAGCGUUCCCACAGCACGGAAGCCUCAGCACCGUUACUGGACACAUUUUCCUCAGCUCCAGGUCAGCCUGUCUGAGUCCUGGGCUUCAUCAGUGGAACAAACUGCGUGUAUCUCCUCCGUCAUUAAACGGUGCUCCACAGGCUCCGCCUUCCUCAAAAGGUCGUGUGGAAAUUGUUACCCAGCACAGAGGCAGCCGUCCUGGGGUGGGUUGUGGGUGACCCCCAACUUCUUAAGGCAAAUGAGCAUGUAAAUGUCUAACUCAAGGCCACCUGGCCUCUCCACCGAGAAACACCAUUGCUGAGCGAUUUCCCCGUUUACUCAGUGACUUCCUGAUGCAUUGUGAGACAAGGUCUGCUGUGUUGCCCUGGCUGACCUCAAACUCUUGACCCUCCUGCCUCCAUCUUCCGAGCAGCCAGGUGUGUGUGUGUCCCUGGGCCUAACUUACCAGGAUUGUUUUACACCAUGUCCAGGUGUGGAAAAGUUUUGAGGGGGCAGUGAGUAAUCUGCACAAAAUGACACAGCCUCCUAGGAGAAUUCCAGGAGAAACUCCAGAGUGUUGUCUUCCCCUUGCCUGGUUGUUUUCCUGUGCUUCUGAGCCCGUUUUUGUAGCUUCCUGCUGCCUAUGGGGAAUGCUCUCCACUGCCUGGCGCCCGCUGUGGACCCUACCAUUCUCCACCCACACCCCAUGGGUCCUCUGUGUGUCCCCCAGGCUCUGCUGCUUUUAGCCACGAGCCACACUGCCAGCUCCUCUUCCCUCAGGCCUUGAUGUCCAUGCCUCUGACACCAGCAGCCCCCGUGCAGGCUCAGACCCACAUGCCCAGCCUGGGCGGCCCAGUCUGUGACAGUCCUGGCCGCGAGGAAGGACAGGGCAGCCCAAGAAAACCUCUUCUGACUGACCCAGUCCCUGCUGCUGCCCACCUGUCACCAACCCUCCUGUCCUGUCUGCUUGAGUCCAUUCAUGCGGUGCUGCACAUCACGGCAGGUAAACCUCACAUUCUCACUGUCGAACUGGUUUCUUAAGUGCCGAUGUGGGUACCUAUCAUCUUAGCUUGCUCUCUGAGUCGUGGCCCUUCUCGGCUGUGGUGCUGUCUGUGUCCUGUUAUCCAGUGCCACACACAUCUCUAAAAUUGGGCCACAAGGCUGGCGCAAGAAGAUCCAUGUGAGAGUUUGCUGACACCGGGCAUUUUCAUAGAAUUCCCUAUAUCUAAGUCAAGUCACUUAAUUAAAAACAGUAAUGAAUUUUAAGUGGUAUUCUGUGUUUUUAGUGAACUCAGCCAGUUCCUUGUAGUCACUGACUUUUUUCCUACAAAAGAUGUUUUAGUAAUCAAUUCUAAAAUUUCUUGGAAAGUUUUCUAAGUCUUAGAAGGGGACACACACACUCCUGGAUGGGGCUCGAGGGCAGGAGAGCAGGAUCCUGCCGCCUUCCGGGUCUUCGUCCUCUCGCCCUCUCUGGUGUUUCCUGAGAGAAUCUGAGGAGUAGUAAAGCAGAGCACAGCACCGCGGAUCCCCAGGCACCCGGGGGCCACCCAGCUGGAACAGUGAGCGACCCCGGCGUCUGCCUCACUGGUGCCCUGUCUCCUUUCACUCCCUCCGCCCUACAUGGCUUUGAAGCAAAUCCCAGACCUCGUAUCAUCUCGUUCUGGAACACUUCAUGCAUGGCAAAAACUAAAAGCUACUUUUAUGUGGCUCUUCUGUUACAGCCCAAGUCAGUCACUAAAUAUUAAUAACUUUUCCUCAUAAAAAUUAAAAAUGGAGAAAAGCUGAAGGCAAAAUAUGAAGAUCACCCACCGCUUGAUUUUCUAGGAAGAGCGACUGCUGUGGCCUGGGUAUUUUGGUCUCCCCAGAAGUCCUGUGCUGAGCCUGGCUCCCAUUUGGAGGGCCCCUGGGAGCGACUGGGCUGUGAGGCAGGGCCCUGGGGAACAGGAAGUGCGACUCUGCCCCCAGCCCUGGGGUCCGCGCCUGCUGGUUGUGAGCACCUCAUCCUGGCAUUCUGUGCAGCCCUAAGAAGGUAGCUUGCGAACUGUGUCCACCUGCUCAGGCGUUGUGCAGCGAUGGAUCCUCCUUUUCUGGAUUAAUUUUCUGCUUGGGAAGCUGAGGCUAGUUUUAUUUAAAGAAACGCACCAGUAAAUCCAGCUGACCCGCUGAAAUCCAGCUGAAGAGCCGAAGCUCCUCAAGGCUGCAGUGUGGGAGAUGAUCACAAACUGGUGUGAAGAGAGACGGAGACUCAGUCAUUUCUCACGCUGAAGGGCAGCAAGCAAGAUGAGGCCAGACAGGCGUUCGCCUUGGGCCAAGCGGCUUCCAGAGCUCAUGGCAGUGGAUGACCCAAGGUGUCGACAGUGAUUUCUCCGAAUUUGCAGAGCUCUGCUCCCAGGAGGAGGCAGCAGCGGUGGUGGGACCAGGUGUGUGAGCCCAGCACCACCCAGCACUCGCCCCUGGGCUUCAGCUACCUGCAGACCAGAUGGACGGGCAGCCAGAGAGAGAGCAGCACAGGAGGAGGCGCCCUGAGGGAGCACAGAGGACGUCUCCAUCUGGGCAGAGGGGGGCAUGGAAGAGCCACGCACGCCCGGCCACACAUGUCAGAGUGCCUGCUACUCACUGGCCUCUUCCCGGAGCUGGGAUUCGCUGGUGCAAAUCCGAUGCCUGGUCAGGCUGGCGUCCAGCGUGUUCCAGUUGCUAUGAAAACCAUGGCUGCAUGGAGAAUGAGACCCACGACUUACAGACAUCGGGGUCACCUCGGGCUCCACCAGGUCUGGCUGGUUCUCUGCAGUGACAGCCGUGACCAGGCACCCACGCCCGUCACCCUUGCUGUGCAUAGACUGCGACCGUCUUCAUCCAGUGGGGCUGGGCUCCCUUGUUUGGCUUUGGUUUUGGUUUACCUUGAAGCCACUGUGGUGACCAUGCAGCCUGUGUGCUGAGACUGUGGCCCUGCACUGUGCCCUUCCUCCUCCUGUGACCGCAGCCCCGUCCUUAGACUGAGCCCGGUGCCACCCUCCUCCAGAGCCACGCAGCAGGGUGGGGUGCAGCCGGUGAGGCCGGGUCUUCAGAGGACACAGGUGUGGCUGCCCAGUGAGCCCACAGGUCAUGCUGGGCAGGCUGUGCCAGCCCGGACCCUGAGCUGGGCAAAGCUGCAGCAAUGGACCCUCUUGCUGUUUGUGGUGCUGAGGACGGACCUAGGCCUAGAUGUUCUGGGCACUCACGGAACCAGGCCAGGAUGAUUAUGGACCUAUCUGGUACCUGCAGACGCGCUGCCGAGGGAGCCGGCUCUCCCCAGGCCUGAGCUGUGCAGACUGCACUUCGGUGAAGCCGUGAGGAGGACAGUGGCCGAGGCACCCUGAGCCCGGGAAGCCGUCUGUCCCGCCAUCACGUCCACAGAGCAAAGGGAUCAGGACUCACAGGACUGAUUUCAACAUCACGCUAAUCUUCACGACAAUUAACCCAGCUACUUGACCAGGACUUCAGGAGGGGC
This is a long non-coding RNA of Fukomys damarensis (Damara mole-rat), 5595 nucleotides long. RefSeq lists it as uncharacterized. The transcript has 8 exons. NCBI's taxonomy places the organism in Eukaryota, Metazoa, Chordata, Mammalia, Rodentia, Bathyergidae. The record is from RefSeq and is a predicted model, not a curated record.